Molecule: ribosomal RNA, 426 nt
Filed under: Triticum aestivum (bread wheat)
Lineage: Eukaryota; Viridiplantae; Streptophyta; Magnoliopsida; Poales; Poaceae
Description: partial small subunit ribosomal RNA
Source: RNAcentral
AUGAGGAGCUCCACGGCUCUCAUCGCCGCGGCAUCGCUCGUACUGCUGCUGGUGUCGCUGGCGGCGGCGGACAUCCAGAUACCCUACAGGGAGAGGAGCGAGGAGGAGACGCGGCGGAUCUUCGUGGAGUGGAAGGCCAAGUACGGGAGGAGCUACGACUCCAUCCGCGAGGAGGAGCGCCGGUAUGCGAUCUUCAAGGACAACCUGCUGCGGAACAUCGAUCAGCAGAGCGCCGCCGGGAUCCAGCGGCAGCUCAACAAUUUCUCCGACCACACCCAUGGUGAGGAGUUCAGAGCCUUUCGCCCAUGUUACAUUCCACUAGAUGGCUACGGCGACUGGACGAAGACCAAGGGAGCGUGGAUUGCAUACAUGCUGUUUGUUUCUACUUUCAUUGUUGUUCUUGCAUUUUGUAAAUUGCAUGCAUAG